GACGAACGCUGGCGGCGUGCUUAACACAUGCAAGUCGAACGGAAAGGCCCUGCUUUUGUGGGGUGCUCGAGUGGCGAACGGGUGAGUAGCACGUGAGUAACCUGCCCUUGACUUUGGGAUAACUUCAGGAAACUGGGGCUAAUACCGGAUAGGAGCUCCUGCUGCAUGGUGGGGGUUGGAAAGUUUCGGCGGUUGGGGAUGGACUCGCGGCUUAUCAGCUUGUUGGUGGGGUAGUGGCUUACCAAGGCUUUGACGGGUAGCCGGCCGGAGAGGGUGACCGGCCACAUUGGGACUGGGAUACGGCCCAGACUCCUACGGGAGUCAGCAGUGGGGAAUAUUGCACAAUGGGCGGAAGCCUGAUGCAGCAACGCCGCGUGCGUGAUGACGGCCUUCGGGUUGUAAACCGCUUUCGCCUGUGACGAAGCGUGAGUGACGGUAAUGGGUAAAGAAGCACCGGCUAACUACGUG
This 468-nucleotide ribosomal RNA is filed under the name uncultured bacterium. RNAcentral's name for it is "partial 16S ribosomal RNA". It matches the Rfam family "Bacterial small subunit ribosomal RNA", at positions 28 to 507 of the family's 1533-position model. The record is from RNAcentral.